AGUGAACGCUGGCGGUAGGCCUAACACAUGCAAGUCGAACGGCAGCACAGUAAGAGCUUGCUCUUACGGGUGGCGAGUGGCGGACGGGUGAGGAGUACAUCGGAAUCUACUUUUUCGUGGGGGAUAACGUAGGGAAACUUACGCUAAUACCGCAUACGACCUACGGGUGAAAGCAGGGGAUCUUCGGACCUUGCGCGAUUGAAUGAGCCGAUGUCGGAUUAGCUAGUUGGCGGGGUAAAGGCCCACCAAGGCGACGAUCCGUAGCUGGUCUGAGAGGAUGAUCAGCCACACUGGAACUGAGACACGGUCCAGACUCCUACGGGAGGCAGCAGUGGGGAAUAUUGGACAAUGGGCGCAAGCCUGAUCCAGCCAUACCGCGUGGGUGAAGAAGGCCUUCGGGUUGUAAAGCCCUUUUGUUGGGAAAGAAAAGCAGCAGGUUAAUACCCCGCUGUUCUGACGGUACCCAAAGAAUAAGCACCGGCUAACUUCGUA
This 492-nucleotide ribosomal RNA is filed under the name uncultured bacterium. Its description in RNAcentral is "partial 16S ribosomal RNA". It matches the Rfam family "Bacterial small subunit ribosomal RNA", at positions 29 to 507 of the family's 1533-position model. The record is from RNAcentral.